GCGGCGGUGGUGCGGGAGAGAAGGACCUUGCCGCCUGACGGGCGGUGGGCGGGCGGCGGGCGGUCCGGUGGUUCUGAUCCGUUCCUCUCCUC
This 92-nucleotide transfer RNA is filed under the name Streptomyces fulvorobeus. RNAcentral describes it as "tRNA-Val". The record is from RNAcentral. Lineage: Bacteria; Bacillati; Actinomycetota; Actinomycetes; Kitasatosporales; Streptomycetaceae.